AAUUUUUCCUCUUCAAUAAUUAAGAUUUACCACAAAACACUACAACAUAAUAUAAUGUAAUAUAAUUAUUGCAACUAUAGUAACAAAACGAAUAUCGGCAAAACUUACGUCCAAUAAAUUUAUCGAGAUUUUUUCCAUAUAAUGUAUUGUCUACUACACAGGCAUAAACAAUAAAUGACAAUUUAUAUGGCGUCAAUAAUUUUAUUAAUACAAUUUGUAUAUGCUGACUCUAUAAGCUCAACACUUUUUUCUAUAUUGUGAGUCCACAGACAUUCGGAAAUAAAAGUAAUUCAAAUGACUUAUCGAAAUAGAGUCAAAUGAGACAAUGAUUCCGAUUGAUUGUUUGCAUCAUUUAUUUACAGACAUCAUUACACGAAAGGUAUCAAAUAUUCGACGUAAACAAAAGCAAAGUGAAUGAGUGCAAAACAAAUAACUAUAUUUCUGUCAAGCAACCUUUUUGAUAUGUAUAUAAUAAUAAUAAUAAAUACACAAACGUUAAAUACACACACAACUACAAAUUCAUGCAUUAUUGGAGAUUCGUACACAUGUACUUUCUGUUUUAAUGCUUAUAAAUAUAAAUGUGCCUGAGUGAUAAUAAAUAAAUCGCAAAUGUUUUAAAGUAUUUACCUCAGAAAAUGAUAAGAUAGUACAAUAUAUUUCGGCAAUAAUUGUGUCGGUAUAAUGAAAAGAGAAUUUCAAAAAGCAACAAAGAGCAUAUAAUCGAUUAUUGUACAAUCUAUUAAAGCACGUGUCAUAUAUUUAUUUAAAAAGCAGAGUCAUGCGACUUGACACGAACUCAAACGAAGAUUUCAAAACGUUAAAUCCAACGUUUUGUAGAAUCAAACCAGAAACUCUGUCCACCUGGGGUGAGUCAGCCAGAAAUGAUACACGACUGCCAAACACUGAUUACACUGCUACUAUAGGAGGACCUCGUCAUAAUUGCAGUCCUUUUCCCAUAUCAACACAUGUCAAUAAUCGUUUCAUAUUAUGGGACGGUGAUAUAACUCUAUUGGAAGCAGAUACUAUAACCAAUACAACCAACGAAACCUUAAGUGAAAGCAAUACACUUUCGGAAAGUAUAUUGAAUGUUGCCGGUAAUGAAUUAAGAGACGAAUUAUCGAAUAACGUUAGAGAAUGUCGUACCGGUGAAGUACGUGUAACAAAGGGCUAUAAUUUACCCGCUAAGUAUAUUUUACACACGGUGGGACCAACAUUUAAGGAAAAAUUUAAAACAGCCGCAGAAAAUACUUUGCACUGCUGCUAUCGAAAUGUUUUGUGUAAAGCCAAAGAAUUGAAUUUAAAAACUAUUGCGGUUUGUAAUGUUAGCACAAAUCAGAAGAGUUUUCCAGCUGAUUUAGCCGCACAUAUUGCCCUAAGAACUAUACGUCGUUUUUUAGAUAAAUACACCACACAAAUUGUUAUAUUUUGUCUUAAUUCCCACGAACACGGCAUUUAUGAAGUCUUAGCUCCCUUGUAUUUCCCUCGCAAUAGGUUAGAAGAACGCAGCGCUCUUUGGCAGCUACCCAAAGAUAUUGGCGGUGAAUACGGUGAACCGCUGCAUCCAGAUCGUCAGAUACGCAUUAUACGUAAUCCCCAGCAUAGCGUUUUAAUGCGUCAGGGCGACGACGACUCGGAUAAUAGCCCCCAUGAUUUCGAAAGUUGUGUCUCCGAUUUGGAAUACGGGCUUUCCGACUUAAAUAACUUAAAUUAUAGUUCAUAUAGUGGUGGCGGUAUGCACUCCCAUAUACAGGCUGAUCUGGAUCGUCAACAUUUACUGGGCGACACGUCUCGCAACAGUGUUUACGAGAAAGUUGUAGCCGACGGCAUUGAAGACCUCGAGCAUCAAGAAAGAUACGAACGCCUUUUAUAUCGCGCUCAAGUUGAGGAUCUUAAUGAAGUUUCUGGUAUUGGUUGCCUAUAUCAAAGCGGUGUUGAUCGUCUAGGUAGACCGGUUGUUGUAUUUUGUGGCAAAUGGUUCCCUGCCAAUAAUAUCAACUUGGAAAAGGCCUUAUUAUAUUUAAUAAAAUUAUUGGAUCCUAUCGUUAAAGGAGACUAUGUUAUCGCCUAUUUCCAUACACUAACUAGCGCCAAUAAUUAUCCAUCAUUACAUUGGCUGCGUGAAGUGUACAGUGUGUUGCCUUAUAAAUAUAAAAAGAAUCUUAAAGCUUUUUACAUUGUACAUCCAACGUUUUGGACUAAGAUGAUGACCUGGUGGUUUACAACCUUCAUGGCGCCAGCCAUUAAAGCUAAAGUGCAUUCUUUGCCAGGUGUUGAACAUUUAUAUUCAGCUAUAACGAAGGAUCAAUUAGAAAUUCCUGCUUAUAUUACCGAAUAUGAUAUGGCCAAAAGCAAGCGGUUUACGUUUUGUAUAAAAGUAUCGGAAACAAUUAGAAAUAAAUUUAGCAACCUCAAAAACAUGGCCAAUGGAGGUGUGAGAUGUCCCACCAUAUGCUAUGCGAAUGUGAAGCUAUCUGCGGAAUAAGACAAGUGUUUGGUCAGCGUUUCAAACAUGGCAUUGUGCUCUGAACCACGGAAAGUGGCUGGAUUCAUAAAAAUCCUAAAAAUGUAGGGCUAGGAGCACGGACGAGUACAAUAGAUCUUCUCGGUCGCGGUACGGACUGCCUACGCAAUGAAUAAUACUAAUUAUAAACUAAUGGUCUUCACUAUUUUACACCAGUGCCACAGGCGACUUGUUCAUAGAUAAAAACAAUUAGACCAGAGGCAGUAUAAAUCACAAAAACACAACCAAAUUUUUAACAUUUUGUGGGUCUUUGAGUCUGGCAAACACUCGGAAAUUAGCAUCCCAUCAAGUACUUACACGUAUUAAAAAAAAGAAAAAGAGAAUUUAAACAAAUAAAACAACAACCAAA
RNA transcript from Glossina fuscipes, 2870 nucleotides. It is a transcript of the gene named protein GDAP2 homolog, with no coding region annotated. NCBI's taxonomy places the organism in Eukaryota, Metazoa, Arthropoda, Insecta, Diptera, Glossinidae. The record is from RefSeq and is a predicted model, not a curated record. The transcript is spliced from 15 exons.